Molecule: long non-coding RNA, 5691 nt
Filed under: Sus scrofa (pig)
Lineage: Eukaryota; Metazoa; Chordata; Mammalia; Artiodactyla; Suidae
Description: lncRNA (ENSSSCG00040038143.1)
Source: RNAcentral
UUUUUCAACAUAGGAAAGAAUUUUGCUUUUCUUAUUCUACAAUCCAUAUCUUCCUUCACCACAGGCAUGGCUCAUCCUCAAUGUAAAUCAUGACUCCCCAUCAAGCCCCCUCUCUUUUUUUUUUUUUUUUUUUUUGUCUUUUUGCUAUUUCUUGGGCCACUCCCGCAGCAUAUGGAGGUUCCCAGGCUAGGGGUCGAAUCGGAGCUGUAACCUCCGGCCUACGCCAGAGCUACAGCAACGUGAGAUCCGAGCCAUGUCUGCAACCUACACCAUAGCUCACGGCAACGCCGGAUUGUUAACCCAAUGAGCAAGGACAGGGACCAAACCCGCAACCUCAUGGUUCCUAGUCGGAUUCGUUAACCACUGCGCCACAACGGGAACUCCAAGCCCCCUCUCUUAUGGGGAGUAGAGAGCAAAUAAACACCAAAGAGGAAAGACAAUGGCAUAUUUUUUAUUCAGUGCCAUUAAAAUUAUAAUAAAGAUUUGUUGGUAGAUGCUUUUGGCACUCUUAGCAUGAUAAUUGCUGUCCAUUAGGGAGGGACAGGGCACUCUUCCAGUUAAGGCUAAACUUCCCAUUGAUUGUUAGAUGUUUACAGAGUACCGGAUGUGUCCAGCAUUUCAGGGCCAAGCAUCAUGAGUAAUCCCAGCAUGUAGGAUUAGUAACCUUGUUGAAACCUUAUUUAUUCCAUAAUUAUCAUUUCUAUACUCCCUCUUUACUUCAGUAUUAGAAGCAGCAAUGCUGACAGUUGGAAGAAAUUUAAUUACUAAUAUGAGAUAGCUUAAAAUCAUGAUCAUAGUAGGAAGAGAAUAUACAGUAAUUCUAGAACAUUUCAUUUGAAAAAAAGAAAUUAAAAUAUACCUGCAUUCCCACCUCCUGGGAUUAAACAUUGUGUUUUCUCUUGUCCCCUUCCUAUGUGUAUGUGACAAGUGACUCCAUGCCUUCCAAAUGCUGUUCCCCCGUGUCCUGUCCAAGUCCCCUUUCCUGGCUGUAGCAUCUUUUACCAUCACCCCAAUCCCGCUCCCUAACCUGUCAGUAAUGCUCACUUAUUGAAAGUGCUCAUUCAGGGGAGAUUUGCUUUUGUUCCCCUGGGAUGUUGGUUUCAUUCUUGACUGGUACCCCUUUUUGCUGCCUCCCUAAGCCGUGGAUCUGGAACCUUGCAACCUGUCACUGGAAGCACCCUUAGUUUUCCUCUGCUUCUCACCUGUCCCAACACAGAUCUGAGCAGCAGGGGAGAGAGAAGUCACUCUGUUACCUGCUCCCCAUCACAACCAAGCUGAUGUCCACCAUACUGGGCCACCUGGGACUCUGAGGGUGACAUUGUAGCCCCCACUGUGUUGGUGGUGGUUGUUUUCCUCUCUCACAAAGAAGGGAUGGGGCUCUCUGGUCAACCUCUGAACACUGGUCCCUCAGGACCUUGAAUUUACUGCACUUACUGGAAACUCCCAGGGCCCUCUGGCACUUCGGUCACUUCUGUCCCCACUGCUGGAUGCUCUCCUGUGUGAAACCUCUGCCUCCCUCCCUUUCCCUUUCUCUCACAGCCUCCUGGGGCUUGACCUCCACAGUCAGUGCUCUUACAAGAUUUGGGGGGAAUCAGCAAGACUCCCCCCCUCAGGCCCCUUCCUUCACGCCCACCCUUGCACCUGUGGGGACACAGUAGAUGUAUGUAAACAGACACAUACAGGCCACACAGCUGGAUGCUAGGUAUUCAGUUUGAUCCUGGAGACAUUUAACGUAGCAGCACACACUGUGAAUUAUGUAAGUUUGAGCCUGAAGACCAACAGGAACCUACUGCAAACUCCAGUGGUAGGAAUCAUUCAUAUGCAGUAUAUACAUGAUCGUUGAUGUCGGACUGUGUUCAUCAAACCAAGCUGCUAGAACACAAUACCGUGGAGUGAGUGCUUUAUAAACAACAAAUGUGCUCCUCCCAGUUCUGGAGGCUGGACUUCUGAGAUCGGCGUGGCUGGGUUCUGGUGAGAGUCUGGUCACAGACAGCAGACUUGUAUCCUUGUGUGGCAGAAAGAAGGAAUGGGUUUGUCUGGGGUUUCUUUUUUAAGGGCACUAAUCCUUUUCAUGGGGGCUACACCCUCCUGACCUAAUUACCUCCUCAUACCACCCUUGUACCAUCACAUUGGGGUCUAGGAUUUUAGUGUAUGAAUUUGGGAGGGAUAAACAUUCAUUUCAUUGCACUGACACAUGGGUGAGUGACACACUGGGAUAGUUUAGUCACAUCCAAAUCUACAGAUUUGCCAUCUAAAUUCAGUCCCCAAGCAAACAUUCCCUCUCCUAUGGACUCCCCUGUGCUUGUCACAGCUGGUGCUGGAUAAAAUACCUAUGAGCUGGGUGACACAUCCUAAAACUGUUCUUUGCUUCAAGGAGAGUGGGUUUGUCUCAAACCACUUUCAGUGUAUGUAGAGCUUGAUUCCCUUGUUUCACACAUUCCUGUUCACCUGGUUACAUGGAGUGGGGUUAUGAUGCACAGGGUGGCCAACUGACAUCCCAGACAACUUGGGGAAAGAAAAGAAGAGAAACAGUCCCUGAAACACAGCAGGAUUAUUGAUUAGAGCUCUUUUCAGAACUCACUGGGCCAGGCUCACUGAGUGUAUUAUGAAGCCAUGCAUUAAAGUUGUUAUCCAGUCAUUGUGAUAACUUAUAAUAUUAACUAACUCUAUUGUGAUAACAUGCAGUCAUUUUACUGUUAUACAUAUUGCUUUUAAAGCCAUUUGUUGUGCCUUUAUGAAGUACCUAGUGGUGCCCUGGAAUGGAGACAUCGCAUAGUUCAAAUGCACUGAGUCUUUGUUAUUCUUUGUUUUGCUUUGUCUCUUCCUCUCAAGAUGAAAUUACAGAUACUUUUGUGGAGAGAGACUCGGACACAGAAGGGUUGGGGGUAGGGGUUUGCUCAUGCUUCUGGAGUCCUCUGGGACACUUUGGCUGUCAGUGCAGAUGGUUUAAGGAAGUGGAAUUGUGAUAAUGUUCCUUUUCUUUGCUCUUCUUUGUCCAAUUUUGAUGUUGCUGAAAUCUGGCAACUCAUGGUUGAUUUUGCUGAUUCACAUCCCUGAUCAUUUGAUAGAGCAUGUAGUUCAAUUCAACCUUAAAUACAAAGGGAACUGAAUUGCCAUUCAAAUAAAGAAGCUUUUCCAUUUUUAGGUAGAAGGAGAUGAUAUGUUUUGUGAAGGCACACAGACCUGAAAUCAACCUGAUGAAUUUUUCAUAUGGCUUUUCAUUUUCUUUCAAUUUAUCCACUAGUUCUCUUUCAACAUCUAACAUUUUCAGCAGCCCAGGCACAGUGAUUCAUGGAUGAGGUACAAGCAUUUUCUAGGUCUAGUUCAGGUGACACACAAGCUGUGGGGACUGUCUUCCCCACACAUACAUUAGGUGGCAAGAGCAAAAUGCACACCGCUUUCAUUUUUACCUUGUUUGAUGAACUUGCCUGCAUGAUUGAGUUGUGGUGGUGGUCCUAUAAGUGUUUGUUAACAAGUUGUGGUGAAAAUUCACUGGUUAUGAAGCCGGAGCUUCCAGGCUGCUUAUGCCACUAACUCAUGUCCUUUUGAAACUUCUUCGGGCUCCUGUUCUGCACCACUGUGAACAGGGGAUAGAGCAUGGCUGAGUCCAGUUCAGUUAAAAAAGCUCCUCUCUCUAGGUAAAUUUUAGUGUUGAACUUGUUUUCUAAUUCUGAUAUUUAUUUCAAUCCCACAGUGUUCUAUUGAUGUCAGCCUCUAAUUAUUCUAGGCAACCACGUAAUGAGUGUUGACUCAUUAAAUGUCACAACCACUCUGAGAAGUGGAUGCUGUUUUAUAGGUGGAAAACUGAGGCCCAGGUAAGAUACCUUGUCCAAGGUCAAAGCACCACAGAUAGGACAGGUCAGAUUUGAAUAAUGCUGGCAGGAGUCUGGAUUCUUUGUUCUGAGUCACUGAACCGUGCUCCUGUUUUUUGUUUUUGUUUUUCCCCCUCUGCACCUGAGGCAUAUAGAAGUUCCUAGCCAGAGGGAGAAUCAGAGAUGUAGCUGAGGGCAUAGCCACAGCAAUGCCAGAUCUGAGAUGCAUCUUUGACCUACACCACAGCUCAUGGCAACACUGGAUCCUUAACCCACUGAGUGAGGCCAGGGAUCAAACCUGCAUCCUCACAGACACUAUUUCAGUUCUUAACCCUCUGAGCCACAACAGGAACUCCCAUUCCUUUUCUUAGAGAAAAAGAGAAAUGCAAGCAUUUCUUGAAAUUGUAGGACUUCAAGAGUUCAGAACUGAUUCAAGUCUAUAUAUCGUGUACCAAUUAAACUUUAAUAUUUUUAAAAGCUAUGUUCGUUUAAUUGAUCCUACUUUAAUGUCUGGCAAUAUGAUUACAUUUUUUUCUUUAUAUGCCAGCUUAGUUUUCAUGAUUUAUCAGGAUAUUUUUCUUCAAUGUUGAAAGGAUUAAUGAGGAUACAAAAAAUUACUUUUAGACACUUACUUAUCUCAUUACAAUGCAUCCCAUUAUAAAUAAGGUCAAAGAUAUCAGUAGAAGGAUCUUUGUGUGGGGGAUGUAGCAGUUGGCUCAGAUAAAUGUGCACUUACCACUGGGUAGAUGGACUUGGCUAUUUUUCACAAACUGUUCAAUGAGCACAAUGUCAUGUAAGAUACCAACAUACGUGAAGGAAGGUCAGUAGCAAUCAUAAUGUUAAUGCAGCUUUAACAUAAAUGUAUAAAGUCAGUGACUCAGUAGAAGUAUUACGAUUUUCUUUAUCACAGAAACACACUUUUCUAGACCUAAUUAUUUACUCUUUAACAAAUUACUUAGCUAAAUUUGGAAGCUUUAGGGAAUUUAUUAUUAUUAUUAUUUAAAAUUUCAUAUUAUUUGUUUUCAUUUUUUAAAGUUUUACUAACAUAUAGAUGAUUUACAAUGUUGUGCUAGUUUCUGCUAUCAACGAAGUGAUUCAGAUAUAUGUGUACACACAUCCAUUCUCUUUCAGAUUCUUUUUUUACCUACAUUAUUAUUAUUAUUUAAACAAACAUAGUUGGCACAAGGCCUCACCUUGAGUUACUUUAAGGUGACUUCUUGGGGUAAAGACAUGCUCAGAGGUGCUGCGCAGGUGGGCAGGGGAGGAUUCACAUCCCUGUGGGGACCAGGGUAUAAGCACAGGUGUGUGAGCCUCUGUCCCUGAUCUCAGAGAGGUGACUUUCAGAUCUGGGUUGCAAGGGAUUGUUUUAGAUAACUGAAAUAUUACUUCCAUGAAUUUCCUUUAUUAGGUAAUUAACACUACCAGUUAUAAGAAAUAAAACUUGGCAAGCUAGGGCCUGUAGCCAACAAAGGUUAUUUCUGUUCACGUCACUGCCACUGUGGGUUCAGCAGGCAGCCCACCUAAACCAGGCAGGCAGCAACACAACAUGCGUGUGUUACUCAGUGUCAUUUAUCAAACACAUCAUCAAAUACACAGAGACUGUAGCUUCCAUUAGAUCUCGUAGCAAGUGCAUGGACAUUUCUAGUGUUCUUAAUCUCCCGCCCUUCCCCAAAAUAUAUAUCUUGGAGCCCCUUCAUCUUCCUUUCUAAUGGAAGCAUGGGUUUUUUCCUUUUUAAACAUUAUUUAAAAGCCAUUGAUAGGAGUUCCCUGUGGCUCAGUGGAUUAAGGACCUAGCAUUGUCACAGCUGUGGCUCAAGAUUCAAUCCCUGGCCUAGGAAUUUCCAAUGCUGUGGAUUGGCCAGAAAGAAAAAAAAAAAAA